AAGUUUGAGAAUUUGGAACUGGUAUGCAGGAUGAUCAUGAAUGAAUGGUACUCUUCUGCAAUGGCGGGAUUUGUUAUUUGUGGGGCAACUGAUUGGAUUCUGUAAAUCAAUUUUGGUGGAGGAGUUGUUCCGUAGCCUGAGGAAGAACAGAGCAAUGUUUUUGAAACAAGACAAAGGAGACACCAUUAACGAUGCAUAUGGGUGUCUUUAGUGGAACAAAUCUUACUUUUUGAGCUUUGUACAGUUUUAAACGUUAGUCUCCCCGGGAAUAGGACCAUAGCUUUUAAAGAACAAUCCAUGAGGAUGACAUACUAACAUCCUCCAUUUUUGGCAUGUAAUAUAUGAAAGUAAAUAGUACUCUUUAGCUAUGGUGUACUACCAUCCCAAUUUGUCAUGUAAUAUAUGAAUGUAAAUAGUACUCUCUAGUUAUGGCUAUGGCGUACUCUCUGGCACAUAUUUUCUCACGUAUAUAUGCCUUACUUUUUACACGUUUACAACAGUUUUGAAACCCGCAGCAUCGCGCGGGCUUCAAUGCUUGUAUAUACUAAAAGAGAAAAAGAACUGAAACACUGUUCAUAAGCACAGUGUGAUUCCGUUUUUGCCCCUACUUCUUUUUUGUUAUUUCAACUUUGCCGGUUUGCUAUGAUGUGGGAACAAAAUGGUGAUGCGUGUUCUUCCUUCUCAAUGUUUCGACUUGCUUCUUUCUCUCUUUGCUCUCACCGAUUCACUUCCGUCAACUCUUUCUCUCGCAGUACCCACAAGCUCUCUUUCGCAGAAAUGACGAACCCAGCUCGAGUUUUCUUUCAAAACUCAGGUCGAGUCCUCGACUUCUCUUUCAAAACUCAGCUCGAGUCCUCGGGUAAAACUCAUCAUCUUCCCUGAUUUUGAUGGGUUUUCGUACUGCAUCAAAUUUUGAUAAAAAUUGUGAAAUUUGGGAUGUGGGUAUUGAUGGGGUCGAUAGGGUUAUUUUCCUUUCCUCUUCUGUUCUCCUCUCUCUCCGUCUGUGUUUGCCUUUGUUUUGAUCUCUCUAUCUCUUUCGUUUCGAUUCCGAUCCGAUCGUUUGUGAAGGUGGUUUGACUGUGCUUCCCGUUGCUUUCCAGAAACGAAUCGCAAUGUUUUAGAAUUUGUGGUUUUGUCCGAUAAUCUUGAAAAAAAAUUGGUCUAAGCGGAGGAACCAAUUCAGGUAUUAUGUGGAGGUGACUGACGUGAUUCAUAAUAAUGCAAUUGCACAUAGAGAGCACGUUAGUAAGUUGUAAUGUUCUGGAAUUCAAUUAAUGGUGGUGUGUGCAGAUGGCUGUGACACACACAAUACUUCCCAGCCGCUUCUGAAAGAUAUAAGAAUGGUUCUCUCGGGUGCGUCAUGUUCGUGCCGUGUUCAUACUUGCACUGGCAGUUGAGAAUACUUACUUGCUAUGAUCUGGAGAAACACCUUGGAAGAAGACCUUGGUUUUGUUGGAGUUCACUUUGGAGUCAACCCAUCCAGCCCAAGUGGUCAACGCCUUCUCAUAUGCACGCAACCGAUCCAUGUCCUUGCGUCUUACGGUUGCUUUCUUCCGACGUGAAGCCACCAGUGCCAUGAGUCGAAGAUCAAUACAUCGUUUUGCAGCCACAGUUGCUCGUUUUCGGGUGAGAUUGAGUCGAGUUUGAGGACACGGCCAUCAGGUGUGCCUACAAUGUCGACAAUGAAGGCAUUUCGGGAGAAGGACACACUCAGAUUGUAUUCCUGAAAUUUUUUGAAUUGGCAUUCAUUAUCUGUGUAAAGCAUGCAAGUAAGUGACUGCCAUUGGUUCAAACUCAACGAGUCCCCGACAAACAUGAUGCUUUUCCCUGUGUAUGUCGACAAGAAACUACUUCCAUUGAAUCUGCAUCAUCAAAUUCGAACACACAGGUCAAUAUCAAAGUUUUAUAACGUAUUAAGUAGAUAGUAUGUUACAAAGAUAAGUAAAUUGUGUGAUUUGUGCAAAUGUUCCCUCGUAGUAAGUUUAUGUUGUUUUAUCACAAAAUUGUUAAUUUGAAUUGCACAUUCAAAUUCCGAUCGUGCCAUUUAUCCAUUUUGGAAA
This is a non-coding RNA of Malus domestica (apple), 2060 nucleotides long. NCBI's taxonomy places the organism in Eukaryota, Viridiplantae, Streptophyta, Magnoliopsida, Rosales, Rosaceae. The record is from RefSeq and is a predicted model, not a curated record.